CACGUAGGGGGCAAGCGUUGUCCGGAUUCAUUGGGCGUAAAGAGCUCGUAGGCGGUUCGAUAAGUCGGGUGUGAAAACUCGAGGCUCAACCUCGAGACGUCGGUUGAAACCGUAUGGCUAGAGUCCGGAAGAGGAGAGUGGAAUUCCCGGUGUAGCGGUGAAAUGCGCAGAUAUCGGGAAGAACACCCGUGGCGAAGGCGGCUCUCUGGGACGGUACUGACGCUGAGACGCGAAAGCGUGGGGAGCGAACAGG
This 253-nucleotide ribosomal RNA is filed under the name uncultured bacterium. Its description in RNAcentral is "partial 16S ribosomal RNA". It matches the Rfam family "Bacterial small subunit ribosomal RNA", at positions 524 to 776 of the family's 1533-position model. The record is from RNAcentral.